UACGGGGGGGUGCGAGCGUUGUUCGGAAUUACUGGGCGUAAAGCGCGUGUAGGCGGCCCUGUAAGUCGGGUGUGAAAUCCCACGGCUCAACCGUGGAAGUGCAUUCGAAACUACAGGGCUAGAGUUCUGGAGAGGAAGGUGGAAUGCUUGGUGUAGAGGUGAAAUUCGUAGAUAUCAAGCGGGACACCGGUGGCGAAGGCGGCCUUCUGGACAGUAACUGACGCUGAGACGCGAAAGCGUGGGGAGCAAACAGG
Molecule: ribosomal RNA, 254 nt
Filed under: uncultured bacterium
Lineage: Bacteria
Description: partial 16S ribosomal RNA
Rfam family: Bacterial small subunit ribosomal RNA
Source: RNAcentral